GCCGCUUGGCCGAGUUCUCGAACACCAGGACGCCCAGCUCCCGAGCGUGGGCCAGCAGCAGCUCAAAGUCCACUUGCGACAGGAACUGGUUAUACAGGACGCCUGGGGUCCGCAGGUCAGGAGCGACGGGGAGAGAGAGGAGGGCUCAUCCUAACACUAGUGUGAUCCAGCCAUAUUCAGGAAAGCAGUAUAAUACAAUAAGAAAACCCAUUAAUGCUUACCAAAACCAGAGAAAUUACUAUGAAUUAUCCCUCCCAAUUUCCCUCUUCUAGCUAAAUCCAAAUUUAAAUCAGAUUUGAGACAAUUUAUUUACUGCCACCGACUCACCCCAAAAUAAAAAGUGCAUGCGUUUACCAGCCCAUGCAGUAAACAAAAAAUAAAAUGCAUGAAUAGCUUUUUCA
Molecule: long non-coding RNA, 401 nt
Organism: Balaenoptera musculus (blue whale)
Lineage: Eukaryota; Metazoa; Chordata; Mammalia; Artiodactyla; Balaenopteridae
Exons: 2
Source: RefSeq, a predicted model, not a curated record